AAUUGAAUUUCAAAUGUUUUUUCAAAACAUUUUCAAAUUGAAUUUCAAAUGUUUUUUGAAAACAUGUUUGUGAUUGGUUAGUGACUCAAAAUGGUUAGCGCCCACUGAGAUGUUUGGCUCUAUCAUUUGCAUGGGAUAACGUAACAGAGAGUGCAUUAUACUAACUUAAUUCCGCGGAUAGGGCACAGAGAUAUAGAAAAUUAUGUUAUCCUGACACUAUUGCAUAUUUUAUUUAUUUUAUAACACAAGUUAUUAGUUUCCAUUUUUAAUUAGGUACCUAGUUAAUUAAAUUCCCAACUUAAUAUUUCAAUCAAAAAUUCAAAUUCCUUAGCGUCCACGCUUGGGCAAUACUAAACUAUUUGAGAACCUAUGGAAUAUGGGUGUAAAAAUAUAAAACUUAUGUACAACAAAUAUCACUAGUUUUUUUUAGUAGAUAGCUGUUGUUAAUAUUAGUUGUGCUUUAUUAACAUUGGAAUAAAUUAUGAUUGUAAAAUUGUUAGUGUACUAGAGUACUACAAAUAAAUCUAUUGUAAAAGGACGUUUUAUUCAUGUAAUUUGUGCCACUAAGAGGAAUCAGUCAUAUUGAGGAAUUUCUUAUAAGAUACUAUUAAGGUAGACUUUGCAGUACGCGACCGCGACGAUUGUUAGGCCCGGUAUCCACCAGAGCAGAGAUGGUCGGAACUGUGUUUAGCAGACCAGUCAGCUUACUGUUAGUAGACGCGAAAAAAUGAUCACGUAAUCUAACAAUAAUCUGAUUGAUCCGCUAAAACAUCUUCGCUCUGGUGGACACUGGGACUUAGGCGUCACUUGCUCAGAAUACAAAUGUACCUAUAGAAGAGCAUUUAAGGUAAGCGACUGCGACGCGACACUUUGCAUGCCAUCGCGCGACAGUUUGCAUUCAACCGCGCGACACUAAGGAUAAGCCCGUAUUGUAAAAAAUUUCGCAGAACUCUAUAACAUGGGAAUUGUAUGAAACCGUUCGUGUGUAUUUUCGUGGCUUCAUACAAUUUCCGUAUAGGUAUUUUAAAAUUUUGCGGGCUUACCCUAAGGUUGAAAUUUUGAUUUGACUUAAGUUUCAGUUAAAACGAGACAGAUUUAUGCCAGCGGCAUAACGCUGUCUCAUUUUAACGUCUUAAGUCUGAGCAAAGUCGAAAUGCGCUCUGUAGAUGCAAGUGGCCGUAUUCAUAAUCAUUACUUAAAGGUCUCACAGUACGCUCGAACGCAUAGUGUAGGUUCCACCAAUCAGAUCAUUGUAAAUUGACGUGAUACAGUCAUCUGAUUGGUGGAACGGACACUGUGCGUUCGAGCGCACUAUGAGACCUCAUAGUAACGUUUGUGAAUACGGGUGUUAGUGUCACGCGGUUGUCUGCAAAGUGCGGCGCAAAGUCCGUACCCUACCGUACCGUGAGAAAAUGUAGAUACAUUUUAUUUGAUAAUGGGAAGAUUAGUUCAAGUCUUUCGAUAUUUUAAUGGAGAUGGUUCCUUAUCAGAUCAUAUACAUAGUUAUGUUGCAUGAGUAUUUUUUUGAUUAGUGGGUUGAUUUUGUACUAAACUGGAAUGUCGAAUCGGUAUGGUUAGUCGAUUUUUUUUUCGUGUUACUUUCUGUGUGCUAGUAUAAUAAAUCAUUAUAUAUUUUUGUUCGUUAGGCGUUCAUAUUGUUUUGAUUUUAUAGAAAAGAAAAAAAUCCUCACCUCGUUAGUCUUUUUUAAAAGCUACUUUCUAUUUAAUUUUUGUUUCAUUAUUUUUUUAAAGCUAUCGCAGAUUAAGUCUUAUUUUAUGUUGAUUUUUUUCACAAAAAAAGUAAAAUACUUAACACAAUCUUCAAGCGACAGGUAUAUAUCAAUUGAUUUUUAAUCCUAAUUUAAUUUAUCAUAAAUUAUAAAUGCACAACAAACGAUUUUUAUACCCAUCGUGGCGAAAAAAGUGGAAAAAAUCCCUAAAAAUUAGAGAAUAUUUGAAUUUUCUACCAAUAUAAACUAAAUCAUACAAUGUACAAAACAUCUUUGGUAACCCAAAAUAUUUUCAGUAUAAGUAAUAUAAUAUAAUAUAAAUUUGACACCAAAAGAUUUUUUAUGGAUGUUGAUUUAAAAAAUAAGUUAGAUAUAUACAUUUUUUUAUAAAACUAAAGAGUUGUGAUGUGCACAUUGUAGUGAAUCUUAAUUAUAUAAAAUUAAGAAAUAAUUAUCUAUAAUAUAUUGCAUAAAUCUAAUUAAUUAAAUACGAAAGUAUAAAAAAUUUAUGUUAAAUGUUCAUUAGGAAUAAAACUUGCAGCUAUAAAUGUAUAUUAAAAAUGUCAUUUUCACGCCAAUAUGAUUUUCUGAACGUUUUUAGUGUACAGAUUUACAAAAGUUGAUGUGUGCAAGUUUGCUCAGUGACUUGUCAGAGCUAACCUCCCAGACCAGGGCGCGUUUGGAACCCUGGUAGUUAUAAAAAGUUUACGUACUUGAUCAACAUCAAUUAUCUAACAAAUUCAACAAUUAGACAAUCAAAAAGUGUACCCAAUUUGAAUUAAGGCUUUGACUUUGACUAACUUCUGCAAGUUUUAUUGCUAGUAGACAAUUAGCUUUUGAAUAAAAUUAAUGAAUAAUAUUUUGCCCUUGUAAUUUUUAACUGACAAGGCUGACUCUUACAGACACGAUGAGAGUACGUAACAAUGCGUUGGCUUUGAUCAAAUCCGCACUACUGCAAGUAAUAUUUAGAUAUUAUACUCUAUCUGCGGCAUGAAGUUAGUAUAGCUCUCUCUCUCUGUUACGUAAUCCCAUACAAAUGAUAGAGCCGAAAAUCUCAGUGAGCGUUAACCAUUUUUUAUAACCAUAAUUUUUA
This is a long non-coding RNA of Maniola jurtina (meadow brown), 2823 nucleotides long. RefSeq lists it as uncharacterized. The record is from RefSeq and is a predicted model, not a curated record. NCBI's taxonomy places the organism in Eukaryota, Metazoa, Arthropoda, Insecta, Lepidoptera, Nymphalidae. The transcript is spliced from 3 exons.